CCUACGGGAGGCAGCAGUGGGGGAUAUUGCACAAUGGGGGGAACCUUGAUGCAGCGACGCCGCGUGGGUGAAGGAGUGCUUCGGCUUGUAAAGCCCUAUUGGAAGGGAAGAAGCAUGACGGUACCUGAUUAAGAAGCACCGGCUAAAUACGGGCCAGCAGCCGCGGCAAUACGUAUGGGGCGAGCGUUAUCCGGAUUUACUGGGUGGAAAGGGAGCGGAGACGGCACUGCAAGCCCGGGGGGAAAGCCCGGGGCCCAACCCCGGGACUGCCCUGGGAACUAGCGGGCUGGAGUGCGGGAGGGGCAGGCGGAAUUCCUGGUGUAGCGGUGAAAUGCGUAGAUAUCAGGAGGAACACCAGCGGCGAAGGCAGCCUACUGGACCGCGACUGACGUUGAGGCUCGAAAGCGUGGGGAGCAAACAGGAUUAGAUACCCUUGUAGUC
This 441-nucleotide ribosomal RNA is filed under the name uncultured bacterium. RNAcentral describes it as "partial 16S ribosomal RNA". It matches the Rfam family "Bacterial small subunit ribosomal RNA", at positions 338 to 795 of the family's 1533-position model. The record is from RNAcentral.